GAAGGGUGUUUUAGUCGGUAGGUCCGAGGACUUCUUCCUCGGGAAUCCGACACUACCCAGUCGUACGGACGGCUGGGUGUCUUUUGAAGAUUUCCCCUCUUC
This is a non-coding RNA of Agrilus planipennis (emerald ash borer), 102 nucleotides long. NCBI's taxonomy places the organism in Eukaryota, Metazoa, Arthropoda, Insecta, Coleoptera, Buprestidae. The record is from Rfam.